UUCCACGUAGCUCAGUUGGCAGAGCACGAGCCUCUUAAUCUCAGGGUCCUGGGUUCAAGCCCCACAUUGGGCAAAA
This is a non-coding RNA of Podarcis lilfordi (Lilford's wall lizard), 76 nucleotides long. NCBI's taxonomy places the organism in Eukaryota, Metazoa, Chordata, Lepidosauria, Squamata, Lacertidae. The record is from the annotation of a GenBank genome assembly.